Molecule: long non-coding RNA, 456 nt
Organism: Cyprinus carpio (common carp)
Lineage: Eukaryota; Metazoa; Chordata; Actinopteri; Cypriniformes; Cyprinidae
Source: Ensembl
AGUCGCUCUUUGGCAGGGGAGAUCCACAACCCAAGUGUGGUGUGAAGAAGAUUUCCAGAUCUGUGCAACUGGAAUAAAAGGAGGGGUCGAGGGGGACCACCCGUAAGGAUCAGAUAAGAGCACGGUUACCCUAAUCAACAUGGUCACGCUGUUUCUCUCAGAGUGACAGCGCCGCGCCAACAACAUGACAAAGCGUCCAGCCGCGCGCUCCUCGCAGAUGUCGGCCGUGAGAGACUCGUCUGUUCCCGUGCAGAGCGUGGACCCUUGGCACAGAAUCAAUGUCAGUGCACAGUAUUUUUCUCGCGACAGAAAUUAAUAGUUUAUCUUAAUUUCUGUCUGAGUGGAGCACAUGGAGUCAAGAAUAGGGGGUUGUUGUGUGACACCAACAUAAGGCACAAUGGGUAUUUUUUUUCUCAUAAUACAAUCAAACAUGCACUGAAUAUUGAUAAAGCACCA